Vicia faba (fava bean) is the source of this 216-nucleotide non-coding RNA. The record is from the annotation of a GenBank genome assembly. Lineage: Eukaryota; Viridiplantae; Streptophyta; Magnoliopsida; Fabales; Fabaceae.
AUGAAGAAAAGCUUAUCGAUUGUGUUUUUUAUGAUCAUGCUUGUGAUGUCGUCACAACUAUGUUUUGUUCAUGGCAGAGAUCUUCGAGCCAAGAAGUUUAGAAAAGAUGAGGUGACUUCUUUUGUGUCUUCUAACAAGUUCAACAAUAAUGCUGCAAAUCGUAAUGUUGGUUUCAUACUUGCUUCUGGACCAAGCAAAAAAGGCAAAGGACAUUAG